Molecule: long non-coding RNA, 3460 nt
Organism: Pezoporus occidentalis (night parrot)
Lineage: Eukaryota; Metazoa; Chordata; Aves; Psittaciformes; Psittacidae
Exons: 2
Source: RefSeq, a predicted model, not a curated record
UGCCCCAACAUCUGCCACUGGGAAUACAGUCUCCACCUGACAGGCUCAUUUGUCAGUGCAGGUGUUGAAAGGUGGAGGGGUUUCUGACAGCAGUCCACCUAGGCUGCCUUCAAACUAAAGUCGUUUGGAGCCUUUGCUCUCUGAAGCGAGUUUGUGGUUUCUGUUGAACUUUUAAUUGUGUGAGAAAAAAAUUGAAGAGAAAAAGCCCUUCAGAGAAAACUACCCCAGGUAGCACUUACAGCUGGGUAAGGUCAGACUUCAUGCCAAGGCCUUCAUUCACCACCUUCUGACAUAUUCACCAGCCAGUCUUGCUGAUCAUCAUAAGCAAUGUGUUCCCAUGCUCCUGGCAGGGCAGGAUGUUUCUUCUCAGCAAGACAUUCCCUCCUCACUGCUUCUGAAUCACUGAAGUCCCCAGGACUGCUGUGCCAGACCAAGUAUUGUGCUUGGUCUGUAAACCAACAUCCCGGCAACCCUUCCCGGGCCUGCUCCUACCCACUUUGCACCAAAGGAAAGACCCUUAUCCCUGAACCAAGAUCUCAUGCUUCAGCCUCUCCAUGCUUAACCCAAACUGAUCUCUUACUACCCUGCCUUUACCUUUCUCUGAUUCACCACUGAUAAUCUGCCUUAAACCCUAAAUUGGCUGUUCAUCCAAGCCAAUCCCAGGAUAUAAGAGGUGCCUUUUACUAGGCUUUGUACCCAGGCAGCAGUCACCCUGAACCACCUGACGAAUUUUUACCCUGAGAUCACCAACUCUAGCCAGCCAUGCACUCCAAAUGUAGGGGAUAUGAGUACAUGUGUAUGUGCCCACACAUACAUAAUUGCUGGGGCAUCUUUCUGCCUAAUCCCUUGGGUCACUCUGUACCUGUCGGCAUCCAGAGAACAGUGACGGGAGACAGGAGCCCUCAGAUGAGGUGCUCCAGAGCCGCAUGCAGCACUGGACCUCUGCAGCCCACCACCAAGUCAGAGAGCUUUCCAGGGAUGGAAGCAGAGCCUAUAUAUGUUGGUGGGAAUGGCCUUUCUUUGUCCCGCCAGACGUUGCUGGCUACUUCUGUAAGAUCGGUCUACGUCUACUUAUUGGAGUGCAGCCAGCAAAACUUGGAGCCAAAUCCCAGACUUCCAGACUUGACAGCUUUGACUCGUAGCUUGAGAAAUACCAAGAAAGUAUUCAAUUGUGGCACAGCUCUUGUGGGCUGCUCAAUGCAUCAGUGCUGGGCAGCAAGCAGGCAGCAGCCCUUCAGCAGUAAAUGCAAGUGGCUUUAAUCUCAAAGACUCACCUCUAGCAAUGGAUUCUUCAGCAGAAGUCCCAAAGUGUCCUGUGAACCAAUGUUCACCUCUUGUCUUUGGUCUGUCUUUUCACACCUGCAUUCACCAGGAUAAGCUUGGUGGAUAGAUCCAUCCUGCAUCAGUAGGUCAGGUAGGUUGUUCUGCUAUGGCCUUACCUCUUAGCUUAACAAAGGCAUUACUGUCUGUACGUAUCUGUGUAUGUAUUUUGUUUUCCCUUGUACCACACACACAUCUGUGGGGAGCCUCCUUCUCACACACCACAGCUGAGAGGCUCCUUUAAUUUUGUCAUUUACUUAAUGUGCUUAAAAAGCAACUUGAAAAUAGAUUUAAUUGCACUCUUGGGAGGAAGGGAGUAGGGAGAAGAAAGUCCUGGAGUAAAGGGAAGAAAGAGGAAAGGAUUAAUUUCUAUCAUCCUCAUAGUUUUCUUUAACUGUUCCAGGCUUGCACUUGAUAUAUCUGCAUUAGCUUGAGAUGGAACAGUCUGUUGAUGAGGCCUGAGCUAUAGAGGAGACCCAGUGCCUGGUGUGAGGAAGUUGUGUGGUUUCAUAGCGGUAAUAGUUUCACUGUUGUGUUGGAACACAAUUUGUAGCAGAGGAAUCGUGAGGUCCUUUCUGGCAUUUUUUUGAACAAGGAGGAGAAAGCUUCUCUGGCUUUGCAGAGCAGUAUCUUGUAAUUGCUGGGGCCGAGGCCUUCAUCCCAACAAUUUUUUGCAUGGCCUUUGAAAAAUCCUGCUCUGCCAUGUGUGCCAAGCAACUGCAAUGACUUAAUGAGUUUGGUUUUCAGAGACUUGACUAGAUAGAUGUUUGACCUUAUUCAUGUUUGCAAAUGUGUCUUGUUCUAGUUGCUAGUGAAUAUGCACUCUCACAUACAGCAACAGAUGCAAGAAAAGAGAUGGGGUUCUUCCCGAGACUUUCUGGUUCUGCAUAGUCAUUUGGAAAUCAAUUUAAUGCAUUUUAAUUGCCUAUUUUUCUCCUUGGUUUUCUCUUUACAGCUACACACCAGCAAAAAAAUAAUAAGGUAGAGUCUAGCCAGGCAGGCUGCUAAUGAGGAAGCUUGACUCAAGAAGAUUUUAAUUUUCAGCAUUUGUUCUUCGAGAUAGCCAUUUCAGCAUGCAGGGAUGUCACAAAACAGGAAUGCUACCAUUAGGUAAUGGAACAAAGGCACUGGGCUCAUACGUCAUUUUGUUACAUGAAGAGCUAAACACUUGCAUCCUUGACCUAACUAUAGGAAUCUGGCAAUCCAUUUCAGGAUGCUGGUCACCUCAGCCAAAUCAUCCCUAUAAAGAAAUCACCCAUUGUGCAUGACACACAGUGUGAAAAGAAUGACGGAGAUACAAUUCAAGCUGUGAAGAGGGAAAGGUGUAUGUUAAAAGCCCAAUCUCUUGCCAGCCUUCUGGUAAAGGGAAGCUUCUGGCUCUGCCAAGCUGAUCAAAGGGCUUCUCAGAAACCCCUCACCCAUGGGGAAUUGCUGUGGAAGACACGAUUUAGCUGAGAUCCGUGGCACCCCUGGACAGCCAGAGCAGGCAGGGUUGCACAAAUUUGGCCCAGGAGUUGGGAUCAAAGCCAGCCCACCACUGUGGUGCCUCCAACUCCACAGCUGGUGCAGUUUAGCCACGACCUAGGUACUGCUGAAUACUGUAUCUGAAGCAUGCCAUUGCUACCAAAGUAGUAUGCUGCAGGCAGCUAGACAUAUCUGUGUUCAGCAUAUCCAUUCAGUUCUGAUAGUCUCUUAUCAUUUCAUCUUUUCAGAUGAAAAGCUUCAAGUUUCAUCCCUGUCCACAGCCACACUGGGAAGUUCAAUGUUUUGAGAAAAUGAGAGGGGAGGAGAGAAUCUUGCUUUACACCAAUUGAUUGUAGUUAUCAUUACCUACUUUACAUGAAAUGUAAAGGAUGCCCCUCAAUAGUGCAUAGCCACAAGUGAAGAGCACCAGAAUCACCAUAGCGGGACCCCAGUAUCACACAACAGAGCCGGGAUUCAGCCCACUGCUGGCACCUACCUCAGCCUGGACCAGCCUUUGAGAGGAGAUGCUGCACAUUGGCCCCAGCCAGCAGCAAGGGGUCUACUCAGAGCACAGAGCACAAACCUGUUCGCGACUCAGGUUUGUAGAAGGGGCAAACCCAAAAGGAAACAGAGCGGCACCGAUGCAGCGUAUAUCAUCAUUAAAUUAUUGCUCUGA